RNAcentral lists this ribosomal RNA (508 nucleotides) under uncultured bacterium. RNAcentral's name for it is "partial 16S ribosomal RNA". It matches the Rfam family "Bacterial small subunit ribosomal RNA", at positions 30 to 523 of the family's 1533-position model. The record is from RNAcentral.
AUUGAACGCUGGUGGCAUGCCUUACACAUGCAAGUCGAACGGCAGCGGGGGAGAAGCUUGCUUUUCCUGCCGGCGAGUGGCGAACGGGUAAGUAAUACAUCGGAACGUGCCCUGUAGUGGGGGAUAACUAGUCGAAAGAUUAGCUAAUACCGCAUACGACCUGAGGGUGAAAGUGGGGGACCGCAAGGCCUCAUGCUAUAGGAGCGGCCGAUGUCUGAUUAGCUAGUUGGUGGGGUAAAGGCCUACCAAGGCGACGAUCAGUAGCUGGUCUGGGAGGACGAUGAGCCACGCGGGGACUGAGACACGGCCCAGACUCCUACGGGAGGCAGCAGUGGGGAAUUUUGGACAAUGGGCGAAAGCCUGAUCCAGCAAUGCCGCGUGUGUGAAGAAGGCCUUCGGGUUGUAAAGCACUUUUGUCCGGAAAGAAAUGGCUCUGGUUAAUACCUGGGGUCGAUGACGGUACCGGAAGAAUAAGGACCGGCUAACUACGUGCCAGCCGCCGCGGUAA